RNAcentral lists this ribosomal RNA (492 nucleotides) under uncultured bacterium. RNAcentral's name for it is "partial 16S ribosomal RNA". It matches the Rfam family "Bacterial small subunit ribosomal RNA", at positions 29 to 507 of the family's 1533-position model. The record is from RNAcentral.
AGUGAACGCUGGCGGUAGGCCUAACACAUGCGAGUCGAACGGCAGCACAGUAAGAGCUUGCUCUUACGGGUGGCGAGUGGCGGACGGGUGAGGAAUACAUCGGAAUCUACUUUUUCGUGGGGGAUAACGUAGGGAAACUUACGCUAAUACCGCAUACGACCUACGGGUGAAAGCAGGGGAUCUUCGGACCUUGCGCGUUUGAAUGAGCCGAUGUCGGAUUAGCUAGUUGGCGGGGUAAAGGCCCACCAAGGCGACGAUCCGUAGCUGGUCUGAGAGGAUGAUCAGCCACACUGGAACUGAGACACGGUCCAGACUCCUACGGGAGGCAGCAGUGGGGAAUAUUGGACAAUGGGCGCAAGCCUGAUCCAGCCAUACCGCGUGGGUGAAGAAGGCCUUCGGGUUGUAAAGCCCUUUUGUUGGGAAAGAAAAGCAGCAGGUUAAUACCCCGCUGUUCUGACGGUACCCAAAGAAUAAGCACCGGCUAACUUCGUG